ACUCCUACGGGAGGGCAGGCAGUGGGGAAUAUUGCACAGAUGGGCGCAANGCCCUGAUGCAGGCCAUCCCGCGGUGUGUGAAGAAAGGCCUUCGGGUUGUAAAGCACUUUCAGUCAGGAGGAAAGGUUAGUAGUUAAUACNUGCUAGCUGUGACGUGUACUGACAGAAGAAGCACCGGCUAACUCC
Molecule: ribosomal RNA, 186 nt
Filed under: uncultured Gammaproteobacteria bacterium
Lineage: Bacteria; Pseudomonadati; Pseudomonadota; Gammaproteobacteria
Description: partial 16S ribosomal RNA
Rfam family: Bacterial small subunit ribosomal RNA
Source: RNAcentral